GGUCUUAUUCGUACUGUAAUACACUGAAUUGUGGCAAAUUGCGAAGUGAGUAUUAGAAUAGUAAUUGGAACUCUUCUACAACUUUUGAAGGAUUGUUAAGAGGUUUCCACAAGUUACUGGGACAAACAGAGAGCUGGAAAUGGAAAAGUGCAUUGCAAAUGUACUUUUCCAAUGUAGUAUUUGAAUCGGGUUGAUUAUGAAGUUUGAGAAGUGGAAUGGGUUAUGGGAACUGACCCACAUCUUUUAAAGAGUGGUAGAAAGGUUUUUGACAAGUUAAAAGAGUGAUCGAAUCGCCGAAAGAUCGAAAGUGCAUUGGAAAUUCGAAUUGCAGAAAUUUGCAUAGUGUACCGGUACAACCAUUAUUGUGUACCGGUACACAGCACAGCAGUAGCUGCGGGCUGAGACUAUUUUGGUCAUUUCACUUCCCUAACUGAUUCUUAUCAGCUUAGCUCGACCCCUGA
This 461-nucleotide long non-coding RNA is filed under the name Ananas comosus (pineapple). RNAcentral describes it as "long non-coding RNA (ACOM_LNC042180)". The record is from RNAcentral. Lineage: Eukaryota; Viridiplantae; Streptophyta; Magnoliopsida; Poales; Bromeliaceae.